CGGGACGGGUGAGUAACGCGUGGGUAACCUGCCUUGUACAGGGGGAUAACAGUUGGAAACGGCUGCUAAUACCGCAUAAGCGCACGGCAUCGCAUGAUGCAGUGUGAAAAACUCCAGUGGUAUAAGAUGGACCCGCGUUGGAUUAGCUAGUUGGUGAGGUAACGGCCCACCAAGGCGACGAUCCAUAGCCGACCUGAGAGGGUGACCGGCCACAUUGGGACUGAGACACGGCCCAA
This 236-nucleotide ribosomal RNA is filed under the name uncultured bacterium. Its description in RNAcentral is "partial 16S ribosomal RNA". It matches the Rfam family "Bacterial small subunit ribosomal RNA", at positions 100 to 334 of the family's 1533-position model. The record is from RNAcentral.